CGAACCCUUGAGGUUAGUGGCGAACGGUCGAGUAACACGUAAGCAACCUGCCCGGAAGCGGGGGAUAAGCCGUCGAAAGACGGGGUAAUACCGCAUACCUUGCCCUUGGACAUCCUCGGGUAAGAAAGAUUUAUCACUUCCGGAGGGGCUUGCGGCCUAUCAGCUAGUUGGGGGGGUAACGGCCCACCAAGGCGACGACGGGUAGCUGGUCUGAGAGGACGAUCAGCCACACUGGGACUGAGACACGGCCCAG
RNAcentral lists this ribosomal RNA (253 nucleotides) under uncultured bacterium. RNAcentral's name for it is "partial 16S ribosomal RNA". It matches the Rfam family "Bacterial small subunit ribosomal RNA", at positions 79 to 334 of the family's 1533-position model. The record is from RNAcentral.